GGAUUUAUUGGGCGUAAAGAGUUCGUAGGCGGUUUGUUAAGUCUGAUGUUAAAGACCGGGGCUCAACCUCGGAAAUGCAUUGGAUACUGGCAGACUGGAGUGCAGUAGAGGCUAGUGGAAUUCCCAGUGUAGCGGUGAAAUGCGUAGAUAUUGGGAAGAACACCGGUGGCGUAGGCGACUAGCUGGGCUGUAACUGACGCUGAGGAACGAAAGCCAGGGGAGCAAAUGGGAUUAGAUACCCCAGUAGUCCUGGCCGUAAACGAUGGAUACUAGGCGUAGUGGGUAUCGACCCCUGCUGUGCCGCAGCUAACGCGAUAAGUAUCCCGCCUGAGUAGUACGGCCGCAAGGUUGAAACUCAAAGGAAUUGACGGGGGCCCGCACAAGCGGUGGAACAUGUGGUUUAAUUCGAAGCAACGCGAAGAACCUUACCAGGGCUUGACAUCUGUGGAAUCUUUCGGAAACGAGAGAGUGCUCGCAAGAGAGCCACAAGACAGGUGGUGCAUGGCUGUCGUCAGCUCGUGUCGUGAGA
Molecule: ribosomal RNA, 529 nt
Filed under: uncultured bacterium
Lineage: Bacteria
Description: bacterial SSU rRNA
Rfam family: Bacterial small subunit ribosomal RNA
Source: RNAcentral